UUCAUCAUCUUUUCAGCAUCAUUCACUUGUUGAUUCGCAUCAUAUUGAUCCCUUUCUGCAUGUUUUACAUACUUAGGUAGAUUUUAUGCAUAUCAUGCAUAUCUUGCAUACAUUGUGCAUAUUUGGAGUGUUUCAGGUACUUAGGAGACAUGUAGAGUGAAGUAGAGAAACAAGCGUUACUCGACAUGCAUACGAUCGAGUGGGACGAUCGAGUGAGAAGCAAGGAUGCGUUGCAGGAACAUACUUCACUCGAUGGACACGAUCGAGUAGGAUGAUCGAGUAGGCAGCAGAGAUACAUUGCAAAUACAUCGACGAUCGAGUGAGCAGCAGACGCAUACGAUCAAGUGAGCAGCAGAAGGGACGCGAAGCAGAACCACCUGUCACUCGAUGCACAGACUCGAGUGACAUGAUCGAGCAAAGCAAAGAAGUUGCUGAUGAUUUCACAGAU
This 448-nucleotide long non-coding RNA is filed under the name Capsella grandiflora. Its description in RNAcentral is "long non-coding RNA (CGRA_LNC000269)". Lineage: Eukaryota; Viridiplantae; Streptophyta; Magnoliopsida; Brassicales; Brassicaceae. The record is from RNAcentral.